RNAcentral lists this ribosomal RNA (400 nucleotides) under uncultured bacterium. RNAcentral describes it as "bacterial SSU rRNA". It matches the Rfam family "Bacterial small subunit ribosomal RNA", at positions 355 to 772 of the family's 1533-position model. The record is from RNAcentral.
UGGGGAAUAUUGGACAAUGGGCGAAAGCCUGAUCCAGCAAUGCCGCGUGAGUGAUGAAGGCCUUAGGGUUGUAAAGCUCUUUUACCCGGGAAGAUAAUGACGGUAUCCGGAGAAGAAGCCCCGGCUAACUUCGUGCCAGCAGCCGCGGUAAUACGGGGGGGGUAAGCGUUGUUCGGAAUUACUGGGCGUAAAGGGCUCGUAGGCGGCCAACUAAGUCAUACGUGAAAUCCCUCAGCUUAACUGGGGAACUGCGUGAGAUACUGGAUGGCUUGGAUUUGGGAGAGGGAUGCGGAAUUCCAGGUGUAGCGGUGAAAUGCGUAGAUAUCUGGAGGAACACCGGUGGCGAAGGCGGCAUCCUGGACCAAUAUUGACGCUGAGGCGCGAAAGCGUGGGGAGCAAA